Molecule: long non-coding RNA, 1342 nt
Organism: Pogoniulus pusillus (Red-fronted tinkerbird)
Lineage: Eukaryota; Metazoa; Chordata; Aves; Piciformes; Lybiidae
Exons: 4
Source: RefSeq, a predicted model, not a curated record
CGCAGCCUCUGCUGCUGUCGCUGUCUUGGCGGCGGCGACUGCUGCUGGCAGGGGGCACGCCAGGCACGCCCAGGAAGGCUGGGGUGCGGUUGCCUCGGGUUGUGCGUUCCCAGCAGCUAUUCUUUUUGUUAGCGAGCGAGGGAAGUUAGGAGGUGUAUGAUAAAACCAGGGAGCCCGGAGGCUAGGUUUGGUGCUUAACCUCUCAACUCAUUGGUCGUCCAAAAUUCCUUGCUGAAGUGCUUGAUUUUCUUCUGAGCAUUGUUUAAGUGAUUGAAGCAGCCAGCAUGCAGUUAUGGAUUCUGCUGGUUUCUGGCAUUGGCAGCUAAAAUUGAAGUCUCCAGUGAGCUAUACAAACUCAUUUUUCAAAGAUUUACAGCAAGUAAAUUUGGGCAAAUUUUCAGAAGUGGCGAAAGCCAAAUCCCCAAGUUCCUUCAGAUGAUGCAGCUGAGUUCUUUGUACAUCAAGAUAACACCACGUCUCUUUCCUCUAACCCUCCUCCAGUGUGGAACAAGGAGAUACGUGGCAUAAACGCGUUACAUAAAGUGUUUGUAUGCAACUCAGAUGAUGUACCUGUUAUUCUGGCCAUAAUUUGGUGUUUACAAUUUUCUUACUUGUAAAUAUUUUACUGACACAAAAAUGGCCAAGCACAGCAGUAUAGCUUAGAUGUGGUAAAAUAGAAUGGAUCCAUACUUUGCAAUGCAGAGCAUGCCUGAGACUAUUUAAUGGGUUUAUAUACUAUUCAAAUCUGAAGAAAAACAACUGUAGAUAAUAAGCUGCAUGUCCAUUUCUAAUGUAUUUUUUGAAAGUAUGUGUUAUAAUAAUUUCCCAAGAGGAGAGUUACUCCUUAUGAUUUUUUUUAUGCAUUGGGAUAGAAUCUAACAUCAUUUUGAAGGCUUAGUUUUAACCUAGUUUAUCCUUGUGCUCCCACUGACCUCAGCUAAACAAGGAAACAAAGCUGUUUGAGUCUGUAUUUGUGUAAUUAGGGCAAUGCUUGGCUUCCUGAUUUUGUGUGAAGAACAGGUUGAUGAUGUUUAUGAAGAGAAAGAAUGGACUUAGAAGCAUGCUUCUUUAUAAACAUAUAGAUUUGGAUAAGUUGCCUGGUUUGACCAUGUUGUCCAGUUUUCUCAUGCACUGAAAAUCUCCGUCUGAUGUCCUUCCCGGAAUAGGAAGUCUGAUGUUAUGUUUAGCCUUGGGCAUUUUGUAGAGUGGAAAACAAUGAUUCUUCCUACACUGAUAUAUGAAUGACAUGUGCUGUAUCAUUCAUUUUCAUAACACUUUUCUGUGGCUAAGGUCCAACUGUUUGAUGGAAUUUAUUACAUUUAGUGACAUCAACCCGUUAAAA